UUCUUGAAAGCUGCUCACACCCUGGGCAGGAGUCAGUCUUAGUCAACACACAGCAUGGACAUGAAGGCCCCUGCUCAGUUCCUGGGGCUCCUGCUGCUCGGGAUUACAGGUACCAGAUGUGACAUCCAGAUGACCCAGUCUCCAUCCACUUUGUCUGCAUCUCCUGGAGACAGAGUCACCAUCACUUGCCGGGCCAGUCAGGGCAUUAACUAUGCGUUAAACUGGUACCAGCAGAAACCAGGAGGAGCUCCAAAGCUCCUGAUCUAUGGUGCAGACAAUUUACAAUCCGGCAUCCCCUCCAGAUUUAGUGGCAGUGGAUCUGGGACAGAGUACACUCUCACCAUCAGUAGCCUGCAGCCUGAAGACAUUGCCACUUAUUACUGUCAACAGGAUUAUGAUAACCCACCCACAGUGAUACAAACCAUAACAUAAACCUCCAAGAAGCAGAAGUGUGAGCCUGGGCUGUCCCAGCUGCUUUCCUCAUGCUUCCUCUUGCAAGAGCUGUCCUAGAAUCAGGACAGGAAUCUUGCCCAGGCUAUCCUGGACCAGUGAGCUUCUGUGUCUCAAUCUUUGGAAUAAGUGUAAUUAUAGAUGUGCGAUACUGGUACUGACCUGAAUUUUGAAAUAUUAAAAUUACAUUCCAGACUAUAGACAUGGAAAUACUCUGAAUUUUUUCAGGUUUUUUAAAUCUUGAAUUGAUGUUCACAAUGUGCACAAAGAUACUUGGAAGUUAUUUCAAAACUUUUAUUUUGAGAACUUUCAAUACUUUAUGCAUGAAUUUCAUCAGCAAGUAAAGACAGUUUGCCACUUCCUUUUUCUGCUUCAGGUCUUUUGUGCUUUUUUUUCCAAUUAGUUGUAUCUUUUCUUAUUGCAUUUGGAGAACCUCAGUACAAUUUUAGGUACAGAAGGUAAUAGUGAAUAUUUCAUACUUCAAUAAAACUUGAGUGGUAAAAUGCUAAAUAACUAUAUCAAUGAGUACAAAGUUUGUUGCAGAGUUUCCCUCUUUUUUGCAAGGCAAGCGCUCUACCACUGAGCCACCUUCCCAGCCCUGCCUCUUUUUUGAAACAGGUAUUUUCCAUUAUUCCUGGCCUGCUGAUAUGUCACGGUUAGCUGUUGAUGCUAUUAGAAAUAUUUUUUCAUAUAAAUGGAGACAGCCUAUAGUUUUUCUCUUUAACUCAAUCAGAAUGAUGAACUGCAGAGAUCAGUUAUCUAAUUUUAAAAGAGAUUUCUACUUGUGGAAUAUAUUCGACUUGAUCAACAUACAUUUCCGAGAAUAAUAAGAAAAAUGAGAGAGAGAGAGAGAGAGAGAGAGACAGAGAGAGAGAGACAGAGAGAGACAGAGAGAGAAGUAAAGUAAGAGAUGGAGAUGAAUGGAAGGAGAGAAAGGAGGGGUGAAAGGAGGAUAAAUUUAGUUUAUUUCUAUUGUCUACAUCCUAGUUCCACUUAGCAAUCAAGCUGAAAUUACCAAGAGAAACACCAAAUACAAACAACACUGUUGGCACUGAGUAUCCAGCCAUUCUGUGCUCUCACCUGCAAGGUUCACUGAAGGGGAGAUGUUUCUUGAGCUUAGUCCCUCUGUCCUCCAGACCAGUUCCCACCAAGAAUCACUGAAUCACCUAGCUCACUGAAUCUUCUCUGUUUUAAGCUCAAGAAUCUACCAAUCAGCGGAACAACACUGACGUCUUUUAUUUAUAGAAAGAAAAAUGGAAAAACCUCAAGAUUAAUCAGAUCUUCCUUAAGUCAGAAGCCCUCUGAUUCUCAGAUUGACAAGUGAAAAUAUGCAUACAACUUAUGCAUCAUAUUUCUGUAUUUAUACCUGAUGUAUAAGAUACAGUACAUAAUAAUUAGUAUAAAUUAUAUGAAAUAUAUGUUAUUUUGUAUAUAUGAUGUAUUAAGAUAUUAGUCUAUGAUUUUUCUGAAUUUCCCUAUUUUAUUGUUUUCACAUUUUUUGUAAAGGUGAUAUUUAGAGGGGUUACAAUUAUAAAUGUAAGGUAAUGAAUAGAUUUUUUUUGGAAUAGUGUCAACCUCUUCCUCAUUAUCUCCAAUGUCUCCCUGCCAACCACUCCCCCAGCCCAAGUUGUAAAGUUCAUUUCCAAUAUAUUGUCUAAUAAGUAUUAUUGUCACAUUGUUUUGUUAUUAUAUGUUAUGUCAUUUAUUUAUCUUCUUAAGACUUACCAAAUUUUUUAACCAAUGUAUAGGUGAACUCUUACAUUUUUACAAAAUAUUGUCCUACUGAUUAUAACUGUACCUGGAAAUAUAUCCAACCAAUCAUAAGGAAUAACUAGGGGGAAAAACUCACUCUGAAAGAAUUUCUAUGGUGGGUAUUGAAGUUUCCACUACUAA
This is a non-coding RNA of Dipodomys spectabilis (banner-tailed kangaroo rat), 2343 nucleotides long. The record is from the annotation of a RefSeq genome assembly. Lineage: Eukaryota; Metazoa; Chordata; Mammalia; Rodentia; Heteromyidae.